Molecule: ribosomal RNA, 450 nt
Filed under: uncultured bacterium
Lineage: Bacteria
Description: partial 16S ribosomal RNA
Rfam family: Bacterial small subunit ribosomal RNA
Source: RNAcentral
GUGGGGAAUUUUGGACAAUGGGCGAAAGCCUGAUCCAGCCAUGCCGCGUGCAGGAUGAAGGCCUUCGGGUUGUAAACUGCUUUUGUACGGAACGAAAAGACUCCUUCUAAUAAAGGGGGUCCAUGACGGUACCGUAAGAAUAAGCACCGGCUAACUACGUGCCAGCAGCCGCGGUAAUACGUAGGGUGCAAGCGUUAAUCGGAAUUACUGGGCGUAAAGCGUGCGCAGGCGGUUAUAUAAGACAGAUGUGAAAUCCCCGGGCUCAACCUGGGAACUGCAUUUGUGACUGUAUAGCUAGAGUACGGUAGAGGGGGAUGGAAUUCCGCGUAUAGCAGUGAAAUGCGUAGAUAUGCGGAGUAACACCGAUGGCGAAGGCAAUCCCCUGGACCUGUACUGACGCUCAUGCACGAAAGCGUGGGGAGCAAACAGGAUUAGAAACCCUAGUAGUCC